ACAUCACACCCCACCGAUGCAAACCACGCGCUACACACACAAGCAAGGAAACACACAACUAACGACUCUACCCUAGAGGGUGGCUUAGGUUCUGCGACGGGUUCUCCAAGAUCUUCACUCUUGCUUCACAUCUGGCUUCACUGCUUCCUUUGCUGCGCUGACGGAUCCAACAGUCUUCUGGAGCUUCGACAGACAAUUGACGGCACCUUCUUCUUCACAAAACUAAUCAUCUAGUACUAGUUGAAAAUCCGAAGAAGGAAGAAUGGAGUAAACCUUUUGCAAAUAGCAUUAGGGGAAGGAGAAAAAGGAACUUUCACAAAUAAUUUUAUUUAUAAAAUAUGUCCUUAGGUUUUAUCCACUUGGCUUAUCCUACAGUCGAGAUGGCUCUGAUACCAUCUUGUCGCGACCGGGAAAAUUGCAUUUUCCCGAACGCUAGUGUAUUAAUCCCCGUCCCAGGAAAAGCCGGGGUACACCAUACAAACAUGAUAUAAAAGACACAUCUUUAUUAUAUCGAUAAUAUUUACAUUAUUACAAAGGCACUUAAGGCCUGACAAUCAAAAAUAAACAGCAGCGGACUAGCGGGCCUACGGCUCCAUCUUCACAGGCGCUCAACUGGGGUAUAAUCCAGGACUCCACCUAAGACAUCUUCUCCAAAGCUUCUCUUACUGAAGGGGGAAAAGAUUGAGCAAGAAUGAGUACAACCACGGUACUCAGCAAGCCACACCGGCAGAUGCAUGAUUAAUGCAAGGGGGUACAAGGGGUAAUAAUAUAGGGGUUAAGUUUUGCAGAAAAGCAGCAUUUAAAAGCCACUUAGUUGCCCAAAGCCAUUUUAUAAAGACGAUCCUAGAGCUACACAGUAUUAUUAAACAAGGCCGUGAACCCUCACGAACCUGCCUUAACCCAAGGCCUACGAUGAUUCAGUCCGAACUGGCAACCCGACCCUGGGUCCCAGCUCGUCCCAAGCCAACCCAGGCCAACCAUUCCACAUUUUAGUUGUUGAGCAAAUUUUAAGAAUUAAAACACUGACUUGGGUACAUUGCUCGGCUUGCCCAUAACCGAGGGCGCGGCUAUUCGAAUAGAUUAUACUCUGAUCAGAGGUGUACAUCUUUACCCACAAGACACAUCUUCCUCACGUGGAACCACGUGCCACAUACCACCACGGUAUACGGACGGAAGACGUGACAUAGUUUCCAACCCAUCCUAGCCAUAGACAAGAGUACCAACCCAAUCCCACCUACGGCCGGAACCUUCGGGACAGGCAGGCAGGACUGAGCCCCUAGCAGCAGGGCACCAACCCUGUGCCAUGACAUCUCGACUACCGGGCCGCAGCUCGUGUAGCCUUCAUUUGUCCUAGAGAAUGUCCAUCGACCCCCGACUUCAUCCAUCUCCAUCCGUGUACUUUUGUUUAUGACCAGAUUGAGCCACAAACUAAGCCUUACCCACUAGACAUGUGGAAGUACGGUAGUGCUUUGCAACAGAGGCCCGAGCUUAAUCCUUAUAGUGGCCGGGGUGCUACUUCCCACGACUGGCAUGCACCCAAACCCCACCGAAAACAGGUUUUAGGGGUUUUGAAAGAGGAAGAGAGGUGUAUGUCCAAUUCCACCAUAAACCAACAAUUCCAUAGUGUCCAAAUGAUAUGAGAAUUCCCAAAGUCUAAAGUUAUAAAACCACCUAAUAUUGCCUAAUUAAUCAGCGAAGCAUCUACCUAAAUUCAUACUAGUGGAACCAUGAAUAGAGUACCCACUAGUUGGGGUUUUGUUUAUCCUAGGGUGAACAAGGUAAUAAUAACAAUAGCAACAAUAAUAAGGUCAUAACAAAGGUAAAUAGGCAUGGCUAAAUAAAACAGUGAUAACGCGGGAAUUUAAAUAAAGCGAUAAUGCAUUAAUUUAAAUUAAAAUAAUUUUAUAAACUGGGAUUCAAUAUGCUCAAGGAUGAUGUGACUUGCCUUGCUCAGAGAGAACGGCCUUCCGAACCUUCGGCGACGACCACGAACCACGCUUCGGGAACCUCCGGAACGACAGAAGCUACGCGAAGCACACAAGCAAAGCUACAAGCCUAUAAAGAAGCAAUAACAAUAUAUAAAAAGAAAGCACAGGGUUCUUUAGGUUAUAACAAACAUUAAGAGACUUGAACGGGUCGAUUCGGAGCUCGUAUGACCAAGAUAUGAUCAUCCGAAGUUUAAUGCUGUUACAUGGAGAUUUGCGGAUUAUUGUAAUUAGGUUUUGCAACUAUAAAACAUGUGGAAGCGCUAGCCUGGAAAAGACAGGAAGGCUGCGCCGUUGACAUGCGGACCCCACAUGUCAACCUAAAGGACCGCGGUAGACCGAGUACACAGAGGCGGUCCCCGGGUCGACGGAAGCAGACCCCGUGUGUCAACCGAGGCGAGUGGCCGACAAACGGACUCCACUAAACACCACACGGCCUGCACACGUGGAAACCACGCGGCUACCGAGCGGGCACACUAACACGGACACUACACGGUCACCACCCGCACGCGUGAACGACUACCGACACCGGUACACGGGUACCAGGGCCGACAACCGCACAACGAGCACGGGCGACACCGAAAGGACGAGGACGGGGCAGCGAGGGAGAGGGAUCCUUACCACCACGCGACGAGGCACGGGAACGACAACGACGAACGGGCGCGGCGGAGACAGACGGGCACAACGGAGACGAACGGCAAGGGGACGGCUUCGGCGGCGAUCCUUGGACGAAGGCGAGACGCGGCCGGCACGAGGCUUGACGACGCGGAGCCGAGGACGAAGACGAGGACGGGGGCUGCAGCGGCACACUUGACGAACGCGGACGACGGACGAGAACGGCUCGACGGAGGGACGAACGCCACGACGACCGGGAACGACGAGAGGACGACGACGACGACGAUGACCGGGGCCGGCGAGGAGACGACGAGGACAGCCGGCAGCGGCUGCACGGGGACGAGGACAGCGUGGAACACGCCGCAGCGAUGUUGAUGACGGAGGCGGCGCCGCGAGACGACGAGCCGGGCGACCGACGGGACGUCGAUCGGCGAGGACGAACGGUGACGAGGAAACGAUGAUGGCAGGCAGCAGCGGCUGAGCGGGGACGGCGUGGAACGCGCUGCUGCGAUGUUGGAGAAGGUGGUGGUGCAGCGGGGCGACGAGCCGACGAGGAGGAAUGGGUGGCCGAAAGGACGCCGGCGACGAAGAGGAUGGAGAGGCCGGCGCGGCGACGGCGUUCCGGCGAAACCGAGGAGCAGCCGGAGGAGAGGACGAUACCGCGACGUCGACGGAGGAGACGGCGACGUCGGUCGGCGUACCGGCGACGUACAGGAGCCGACCGAAGACGGGGAGGUACUGGAUGCCGACGAGGAGGCCACUCCGGCGAGCUUCGGGCGAGGAGGAGGUGAUGCCGGGGAUGAGGGCGGCGUCGCGGAGCCGAGGGAGGUGGUGGCGACGUCGACCGGCGCUCAGGCAGGGAGAUAGAGGCGGCUGGAGGCGGCCGGCGCGGAGGAAAGGGAAGGGCGACGGCGGAAACGUAGCUUCGGGGGUCUCCGCGCGAAACGGAGGGCAGGCCGGCGAAGAGGAGGUGGCGGCGACGCUGGAGGAGGCGACGGCACGGCCGGCCGGUGCGCGGGCGAGGCGGCACAGGCGGCUGGAGGCGGUCGGCGGCGUGGGAGAGAGAGGAGGGCGGCGGGGAGAUGGCUAGGGACCACGGGGAGGCUCGGGAGGGGGCUAAAACGAGAGAACGGGGGAUGAGGAUCCCAUUUUAUAUGAGAGAAGAGGGAGCCGGCCACGGGGGAGGUCGGAACGGCGGCAGGAAUGGCGGCCGGCGGCCAUGGGAGGCAGCCGAGGAAGACGCGGGCGUUCCCGGCGAUUGGGGGCGGCAUUCAAGGGGGAAUUAAGGGGAAAGAGAGAGGAGGGAAAGGGGAUUAAUUCCCCCUAAUCAAUUUUGGAAUCCAUCGCUUAAAUCGCGCGGAUUCGAGGGAGGAACGAAGCUAGGGUUCACGGGAGAGAAGAGAGAGAGAGGAUGCCGGGCGGGAGGAAGGAGACGACCGGGCGGGUGGGACCCACCGGUCAGGCGGCGGCGCCAGUGCGCGCACGCGCGCGGCACGGGCGGGAGGCGCGGCUCGGCUUGGGCCGGGCGAAGCCGAGGCGGCCCAGGAGGAGAGGAGGGAGAGGAGGCCCGGGAGAGAGAGGAGAGGGGAGGGGAGGGAGCUGGGCCGGGAGGGGAGGAGGGGCCCAAGAGGAGGAGGGAGAGAAGGAGAGGGAGAGAAAGAGAGGGAGGUUGGCCGAGCCGGCCCAAGAGGGGAAGGGGGGGGGGAGAAAAAGACUUUUUAGGGUUUUUUUCUUUUUAUAAAACCUUUUUAACUUUGUUUAUUUCUUCUUAAUUUUUAUUUGUGCUCUGAAAAUUCCACUAAAAUUUGAGGGCUCCUUUUUGACCAAGGAGAAUUUAACAAAAAUUCUCCGGGCCACAUUUGAAUUUUUCUUGUACGUAUUUUAAUGUUUGCCAAUUUCUUUUCGAAUUUUAAUUAAUUCUAUUAUUCCUUUUAGAAAAUGAUUUUUAUUUCGGGAUGAAUUUAUCAGGACGUGACAAAUCCACCCCCCUUACAAGAAUCUCGUCCCCGAGAUUCGAGGAGGCUAGCAUGAAGAUAGGUUGGGCGGUCUUCUCUUCUUGUCUGACUUCUUCCAUCGCGUCUUUUAUAACAAACUUGCCUAGCAAAACUUCUCCACUCUGGACUGCUUGGCUCGAUCUCCUGUUGCAGAUGGAAUCUUCUUUCCACCUGACUUGAACCAGGGUGCACCUUUUAGCUGACUUCGACUGGGUUGUGGCACUUGAAGAUGGGACUUCAGUUCCAGAACUUCUCAUAAUUCAUAUCUUUGGAGUCAACCUCAUACAAGUUACCACUUCAUGUCAUGCGUCAACAUUAGCUGGUCAUUACUAGGAUACCAUGUUUGUCAUCAUAAGAAUAUCAUGCUUGUCAUUUACUUCUAUCUUGCCACAAACUGCCUCAUAUUAGUUUUCCUGGUCUCCGGGUGCUAGCUACUUCUGCUAUUCGAUGCGAGGGUCGAUAACUUUGCCUUUGAAUUAUGUUUCUCAACAGAACCAACUUAUCCCACUUGACAUGCUUUGACGUCUUCCUAAAUGACUUUACUGCUGAACUUGUUAUUGUCUGAUCGUUUUCCUGCCAAAUCUGAAGCUUUGUUGUUAGAUGCGAUUUUAUUCUGACCUCUAUAGACUAUCUUCGAACAUUUCACUUGGUUCAUAACUGGGAAUAGUUCCCACGAACAGGCAACUCGGAUUCACUUUCUUUACAUUCAGUUUACUUCCCACUAUUCCCUUCAUGUUGUCAUUAUUUAGCAUUCAAAGUAUUCCUUUACACAUUCAACCCUGACGUCCGAAAAAGACACAUCUGAAACUCUUGUUCAAACAAAUGUCUCUUUGGUUAAUCGCUUGAUUUUCAUUUCCACCAUCAGGUUGGUUAUUAACUCGAGGUUAGAACAUAGUUCCUCUGGAAUGAGACCCUAGGUCUCCUUUAUCAGUAAGCAAUUAUACACAUAAUCACCUAUCCGCAUCUUCCAAAAGAAUCCUCAUAGAACUUGUCUGUAUUACACAUUUCUCCCUCAUUACAUGAAUACUAAGCUUUGCCUAAAAGGAAAGGUGCUUAGCAUCGGUACAUUGCAUCCUCAACAUGAAUCUUCCAUAAACAUAACAAACUCAUUGUUUAUAAUCAUGAAUAUAUUUAUUUAUUACAUGAUUGCUGCAAACUUCCGAUUACAGUGAUAAGUAGCGAACUGAAAAUCACAAACAUGGCUACUUAUUCUGAUUCUGGAGAGAUAUAGCUGGCAUUGUUCUGGUGACUGCAUCAUCCUUGAUUGGUUCUGUGAUGAUGUGAUAGGACUGCAUAUUGCUAUCAUUCACAGGGGAAGCUUCCUUCUGAUUGCUGGUUGAAGCGGAUAACGGUCUUCUGCUUGGUAUCGCCCUCCUGAGGUUGAUUGCCCUUUGCUCGGCCGGGAGUAGGUCGGGGAGAGACACAACUUCUUCUAUCGAUGACAAUUCUUUGCUGAGGCUGUCGGUGCAGAGAAUGGUUGGUGCUGAAGGUAUUAUUGCUAUGAUUUAUUGCAGAGUCAGGUGCAGCGGGAGGAGCAUUGGUGCUGUGGAUGAUAUCGUCGAUGUUGCUGUUGGAGCUGACUAGCUGAUGAGACAAUCGUAGGGUUGUUCGUUGGAUUUCUGCGGUCUUGGUCAACAACACACUGAGUUGGCAAUCCCUGGGCACAUGGUUUGUACCUUCGCACAGAAAACAUGUGACCUUGCGGGUGGGACACUCCCCUGGUGGAUGGUCUUCUUCACAAUGAGUGCAGAGUGUGAGACACAUGCUAGCAACGUGUCCAAUUUCCCCGCAACGGGUGCAUGCCUUUGAUUCCAUCUCUUCCUCGCCGAGAUGUCGGGGAGACUCAUCUUCAUCAUCCGAGGAGACUUGAUCUGACCCUUCACUAUCAGAUACUCUGCCACCAUGGCUUAGGAGGUGCUGGGUCAACUGUCGUGCACCUCGGAAAGUAUUUCCUCUUUGACGUCUAGGAAUAGUUAUCCCUGCUGGAGGCCAUUCGGUGCUGGUAAUAGUCAUCUUACGUACUUCUUCUUCAGUUCGCAUCGGUGCUUUUCUCUUCUGAUUCUUACUCUUCUUGCCUUUGGCUUGCUUAGUAUGUGACCCCACGUGGUACGAGAGGCUAGGAGGAAAGCAUUUCCCGGGAUUCAAUGGAUUCUCUCCGUUGAGCUCUCUACUUUGCACACUAGGCUGCAAGCUUGACUUGGUGUGAGGAGGCUGGUUUAGCGAUGUCUGCCCUGCUAAACCAAGGGAAGGGGCUUCUUUGACAUAUACCCAUGGACAAUUCAGGGCAUAGUGUCCUUGCUCUCUGCAAUCGUGACAAAAGGGGACAUCCUCUUCUGGCAUUGGAAGCUCAUUGACCUGGGUGGCAAAUGCUCGAUCAAACACAUACUGAUUUUGGUCUUGACUUCCAACUAAUGGUAGCUGUGAACUAAGCAGCAUGCUUGGAAUGGACCAAGGGUGUGCCCUGGUUAACUCUCUUGAGGCCAGUGGUAGAUUGAGUUGAAAACUUGAGUUACUUGAGGCAUACCCGCUGACAUUCUUUCCUUUUUCUCUGUUAAACAUCUGUUACCGGGAUUCAGGUGAGAGAGGAAACAAGCCAGGAAAGAAUAGACCAGAACUAGAGAUAGGACCUUAAAGGAACUAACUCUUCUUGUUGAUGUGCUGUUUGUUUCACUUAUUCUGCAAGUUGAUUAAGCAAACCACCUAGCAUGGUUACAUCACACCCCACCGAUGCAAACCACGCGCUACACACACAAGCAAGGAAACACACAACUAACGACUCUACCCUAGAGGGUGGCUUAGGUUCUGCGACGGGUUCUCCAAGAUCUUCACUCUUGCUUCACAUCUGGCUUCACUGCUUCCUUUGCUGCGCUGACGGAUCCAACAGUCUUCUGGAGCUUCGACAGACAAUUGACGGCACCUUCUUCUUCACAGAACUAAUCAUCUAGUACUAGUUGAAAAUCCGA
Molecule: long non-coding RNA, 7557 nt
Filed under: Oryza sativa (Asian cultivated rice)
Lineage: Eukaryota; Viridiplantae; Streptophyta; Magnoliopsida; Poales; Poaceae
Description: long non-coding RNA (OSAT_LNC000952)
Source: RNAcentral